Molecule: ribosomal RNA, 497 nt
Filed under: uncultured bacterium
Lineage: Bacteria
Description: partial 16S ribosomal RNA
Rfam family: Bacterial small subunit ribosomal RNA
Source: RNAcentral
GAUGAACGCUGGCGGCGUGCCUAAUACAUGCAAGUCGAGCGAACAGAUGAGGAGCUUGCUCCUCUGACGUUAGUGGCGGACGGGUGAGUAACACGUGGAUAACCUACCUAUAAGACUGGGAUAACUUCGGGAAACCGGAGCUAAUACCGGAUAAUAUAUUGAACCGCAUGGUUCAAUAGUGAAAGACGGUUUUGCUGUCACUUAUAGAUGGAUCCGCGCCGCAUUAGCUAGUUGGUAAGGUAACGGCUUACCAAGGCAACGAUGCGUAGCCGACCUGAGAGGGUGAUCGGCCACACUGGAACUGAGACACGGUCCAGACUCCUACGGGAGGCAGCAGUAGGGAAUCUUCCGCAAUGGGCGAAAGCCUGACGGAGCAACGCCGCGUGAGUGACGAAGGUCUUCGGAUCGUAAAACUCUGUUAUUAGGGAAGAACAAAUGUGUAAGUAACUAUGCACGUCUUGACGGUACCUAAUCAGAAAGCCACGGCUAACUACGUG